This is a transfer RNA of Clostridium acetobutylicum ATCC 824, 73 nucleotides long. It matches the Rfam family "tRNA". Rfam says of the family: Transfer RNA (tRNA) molecules are approximately 80 nucleotides in length. Their secondary structure includes four short double-helical elements and three loops (D, anti-codon, and T loops). NCBI's taxonomy places the organism in Bacteria, Bacillati, Bacillota, Clostridia, Eubacteriales, Clostridiaceae. The record is from Rfam.
GCUCCUGUAGCGCAGUUGGUAGCGCAGCUGAUUCGUAAUCAGUUGGUCGUAGGUUCAAAUCCUAUCUGGAGCA